Molecule: regulatory RNA element, 120 nt
Rfam family: Ribosomal S15 leader
About the family: The E. coli Ribosomal S15 gene 5' UTR can form two alternative structures.
Source: Rfam
GGCGGCAGCUAUAAAUAUGCAUGGCUGCCCGCAUCACACACUGCGCAUAUUGGAGAAAAGACCAUGGCACUGAGCCCGCAAGAAAAAGCACAGAUCCUGAAGGACUAUGGCCAGAAAGAA